Molecule: long non-coding RNA, 2378 nt
Organism: Equus asinus (donkey)
Lineage: Eukaryota; Metazoa; Chordata; Mammalia; Perissodactyla; Equidae
Source: Ensembl
AAGCAUUUGUGCACUACCUUUAUCAAGAGGCUACUUUAAAUAAUUGAAGAAGAGAGGAAAAGACUACCCUCCAGAGAUGAUGGCGCUGUGCUGUCCCCCGACCAUGUAAACCGUCCUGCGGGGCUCCUAGGAGCUCGCUGCAAGGGCCGCCCAGGGCACCUGGGUUCCUUUGAGGACCAGGGCUCCAGAUCAUCCGUGAACAAGGUGAAGUGAGCUGCAGAACUGGCCUUGGAGGAAUUCGAAAACAGGCGAAAGGGACUCCAUGAAGACCCUGAAAGGACACCCGGAAGAACUCGGCAGCCCUCCGACCUGACCAUGAGCUUUGAUGACAAAUCUGUGUGCUUGCCAAGUAGAGGAGAGCUGCUGGAUGCCUCGAGAUGCCCCGGACAGAGGAAAUGGUGGCUCUAAAGGAAUCUGCAGAUGAGAAGUCACACGGGGAGGAUGCAUUAAAUUGCAGGCUGAUUGGCUGUGGAACGUCUCUCACAAGGGCAUCUCCAUGAAGCAUGUAUCCUGGAGACGAGCAGCAAGGAUUUUUUUUUUUUUUCUUUAACCAGCGGUUAGUGAUUCUCCUAAGCCACACCAAGAAUGCCAGAGGCUCUAAUCAGGCUCUGGUGAGAACGAAACCCUGUUCACAGUUAAUGCCAUUCCUCUUUUUGAGAACUAUGGAGUGCCUGCUAAGUGCCAGGCACUGUCUACGUUUAGUGGAAGAUCAAGGCCCGAGGGAGGGGGAGCAGGGGAGGACGACUCUUGGCCUCUCAGAGCUGGGCCUGGUGGCUAAGAACAACAGGAGGUUCCAUUUUAUAACUCGGAGGAAACAGAGGAGGUGUCCGGGCGAUUCACUUUCCUCUCUGACCUCAAUUUACUCUUUUUAAAUGAGAGGGUUGGACUGUGUGAUCUCUAAGCCCCGCUGUUCUGAUUCUAGCACCAUGUGAAGUUCACUUCAAAGUCAGCGAAAGUCGCAGCAACAUAAAUAGACCUCAGGAUAUAAACACUGUGUUAUCCAAAGGGAAAACGAAGAUGACAGACUACAUGUUUUAAAAUAAACUCACUGUGGUUUUUAAUUCUCAAUUCCAUCCUUGAGUUUUAUGAGUAUUGAUUUCCUAAGAAAAGAAAGCCUACAACUGCUACCUUCCUUAAGUACCUUUCUAGUCAUUUUAAAUAAGGUCAUUAACAAUUUUCAGGCCUAAUAUAUAUAACUUUCCAUUUAAAUAUCCUUCCCACCCUCACCAAAAGGACCUUUCUUAUGUAACGAAAACGAAAGUUUUAAUUUUGGACACAAAAAAAUACAGGCUUGACAUUUACUGAGCAUUUAUAAAAAAACAAUACUUUGUGCCUUGCCUAAAAAAAUUCCUGUUAUGUACUUCAAACAUUGACAGGAAGUGUCAUUGACAACACAAUGGGAUGGGCAAACUGAGAGACAGAGACCCAAGACAUUUGCAGUUUGCUUAAGGUCACACAGUUAUUUUAUGUAUCUGCCUCAUUUUCAUCUUAUUUCAUUUAUCCUUCACAGUAGUCUUAGAGAGUAAUUUCCCGACCUACAGAUAAGGAUAUUGAGUUUCAGAAAUAGUAUGUUCUUAAACAAUAACAGAUUCAAAACUAGGUUGACCUAUCUCAAAAACUCUUGCAAUUUUUCCCUAUACCUUGUGGAGUUCUAGCACAUAAUCCCUACUUUGCAAAUUGUACAUUCUCACAUAGGUCAAAUGGAAAGGAUCCCUUCAUCCUCAAACCUUUUUCUUCAGAGAAUGAGAAGGAGGCCGUUCUAGAGGAGAGACAAGGGGAGAAGUGAGGUUAAAGAACUGCCCUCUGUUACUCUAAGAUAUUUCCAGACUUAUCUUUCCCUAACCCUGCCCAGACUUAUAUUGUACCCAAAUUAGACUACCACAGUUCCUGGUUUAUACCCUCAGUAUAUGACACCUCAGUCUGUGAUAAAAUAUAAAAAGAAAAUAAAUGUAUUAUUUCUCACUGUUAAACAUGAAACUGUAGUCGGUCCAUGGCUUUUAUACUCACUCUUACAUAAUGUUUGGCAUCAAAAGUUCCAGUCUAGUCUAAUAAUUGUAAAGUUAGAGUCCACUCCAGUAAAGAAAUAAAAUAUCUAGACUCUUAUUCAGUGUCAGACUUUCCCCAUUCCUAGAAUGGAGGCCCGGGGGGAGGAGAGGAAGGGAGCAGGGCUGGUUCUUAAGCAGUUCCUCUUCUGCCUCCUCUCCCACUGUGAGCUCUCUCUGAAGUCAGCCUAGGAAGAGAGGAACUAGAAGAACGGGGCCAGGCUGCAUGGCUGGUAUAAGGUUAUCUGGCCUCAGUGCCCUCUGGACUAAAGAAGCAUUGCUGACUCUUUCUCUUUUGGACACUUUUGUUGAUUCUUUGGAGUCUCACUCAAGAUC